CGGUCCGCAGUUCACCGAGGCGUCGCCGGGCAUCUGCCCAUGCUGAACCUGCAA
Jannaschia donghaensis is the source of this 54-nucleotide non-coding RNA. The record is from Rfam. Lineage: Bacteria; Pseudomonadati; Pseudomonadota; Alphaproteobacteria; Rhodobacterales; Roseobacteraceae.